Molecule: ribosomal RNA, 496 nt
Filed under: uncultured bacterium
Lineage: Bacteria
Description: partial 16S ribosomal RNA
Rfam family: Bacterial small subunit ribosomal RNA
Source: RNAcentral
GAUGAACGCUGGCGGCGUGCCUAAUACAUGCAAGUCGAGCGAACAGACGAGUAGCUUGCUCCUCUGACGUUAGCGGCGGACGGGUGAGUAACACGUGGAUAACCUCCCUAUAAGACUGGGAUAACUUCGGGAAACCGUUGCUAAUACCGGCUAAUAUCUUGAACCGCCUGGUUCCAUAGUGAAAUACGGUUUUGCUGUCACUUAUAGAUGGAUUCGCGCCUCAUUAGCUAGUGGGGAGGGUAACGGCUUACCAAGGCAAGGAUGCGUAGCCGACCUGAGAGAGUGAUAGGCCACACGGGACCGGAGACACGGCCAGAACCCCUCGGGAAGGCAGAGGGGGGAAAUCUGGCGAAAUGGGCGAAAGCUGGACGAAGAAACGCCGCGGGAGUGAGGAAGGUCUUCGGAUGGUAAAACUCUGUUAUUGGGAAAGAACAAAUGUGUAAGUAACGAUGCGCGUAUGGAGGGUACCUAAGCAGAAGGCCCCGGCUAACUACGU